Long non-coding RNA from Pollicipes pollicipes, 2091 nucleotides. RefSeq lists it as uncharacterized. The record is from RefSeq and is a predicted model, not a curated record. The transcript is spliced from 3 exons. Lineage: Eukaryota; Metazoa; Arthropoda; Thecostraca; Pollicipedomorpha; Pollicipedidae.
GGCUGCGCUACAUUGAUAAUUCACGAUCAAGGCUUCCGCCACUUAUUAUCGCGUAUACGGCUUCGGCCUUAUAUUACUAUAUUGUGGCUGCAUAGACGGUAGCGCUUACCGUUAGGGCAUACUAUAGCUUCAUCCUAGCAAGUCAUGAAUAGAUCCUUCCGUGCGGAGACCAGGAGCAGAACAAAGGAUGAUGGCAAGCGUUUUAUGCAUACUGUGGACAAAGUUCGUAAAUGGGAGAAGAAGUGGGUGGCAGUCAGUGAUACAACAAUGAGGAUCUACAAAUGGGUCCCAGUUUCUGUUGAGAAGCGAAAGAAGAUGAAAUCAUUGGCAAACAAAGAAAAUCAGAAUCAGGGUGGAAAGACUAUUGAGACACCCAGUCCAUCAUUUCUGGGAGAAGAUUCAAACACAGGUUUCUCGGUCACUUCAGACUCAAUGGACACGGACUUCCAGCAGAUCAACUUCUCCGAGGACUCAAACUCGCAGUCAAUGUCCGCACCUGGCGCCACCAAGCGGCCGUAGCUAAAACGACUGUGGUCUCAGGAAGCAGGAAGCGGAGUCGGCCAUCGCCUUCGCGGAAGUUAUUGCUGUGCCUCCCGUCUGUUACUGCCUCCCACUGUAUGGCGAGACUCCUCCCGACGCUCGUGCGCUGUGCGUCAAUUCCGCUAUCAUGCGUCCUUGGAGGUGUGCAUGGGUGUGCUCCAUCCUCUGCAAUCAUGUUCUUUGUCGUCAUUGAGCUUAUGUGUCUACCAGGUAUGACCUAUGCGCUGUUUUGCGUGGGGGCCGUCUUGAUUUUAAGCACUGACGAUCUCAUCUGAACGUGUGGUACCAUCCGCCGACAGCCGAUAGAGCUGCUGUCGGCGCCAGGCCUAUAUGGGCGCCAUAUGGCCUGGCGGUCGCCGCGCCCUUAAACCCAAAUCGUGAUCAUCGUCAUCAUCAUCGACUUUCCUGUCGUUUUUGGGAGGGUGUAGUGGGAUAAUUUUUUGAGGUUUGGGCUCGAUGGCAGUGCAUCUGAAAAGUUACAACGUAGACCGCUCAAUAAUUGUUACUCAGUAUAGGUUCGAAUGUUUGAAGCAAAAAUUGUCGCUCAAAAUCGGACAUCAGAUUAAUUUAUCCGUAAACCACAAUGCAAUGUUCAGGGUUGACCCGUGUGGUUGGCAGUGGCUCGGGGGUGAACCCAGCCCCAUGCUCGGAACUGCAGCCUCCAGUCGGGUCAGCUAUCUCAUCUGCCAGACAUGCAGCCAGCCGGAGAGAGUCUUUUGAUGCCAGAACGACAGCCAUCUACUUGGAAUAUGAAUCUCUGUCUAGGUCUAGCCGGAAGUUUACGUUUCGUUCCAUGUAGAAUAUCUGCGUUUGCUUUUAUAUUUCUGACCCGGCUUUUCAAAAUGGCGGCAGGUUUCGUUGUGGUUAUCUUCGCAAAUGCACUGCGGUCGAGCCUUGCCUUAAGAUUAUCCUUGAAAGCGCCUGUUCGGAGCGGGGCACCGACAGUGCCAGAUUUGUUCCGUCGGCCUUCGGUACUCUUGCACAUUUCGUUUUAGUGGUCGCGCUCGUGUCAAGCGUCUAUGUGCACUGACUAAACAGAAGCGUGACAUAAACAAAAAAGGCGGACCUUAGAAUGUACAUACGUUUCAAAUCAUCCCGGGCAAGCCCAGGAGCCGUCCGCGCGGCCGAGGUGCAGGCCUGGCGCCUGUUGAUCCCAGCAUGCCGCCGCAGCAGCCGGACCCGUCUGGGGUGGGUCAGCAGACCGUCUGCCGGAGCUGAGCACCAGACAGCUGCCACGUGACGGCCACGCGGUCGGCACCCACCGGGAUAUCACAGCCCGCAGCUCAGUUCAGUGGGCCUCCGCCGGUGUAGCCCGUCACGGAUUCACACUUUGGAAAAGCAAGGAUGCGCUUAAAUGAUCAGGUUGAUCGACCAGGCUGUCACGAAAUGUCUCCAUUGGCCCCAAGUCGGUGCUCACGAAGUCGUCCAGAAGCGAUUGUUGAAUAACGACACCCGAUUCUUACGGAGGCCGCCCGUAAUUUACAAGUGUGCGAUAUUGGCAGCUGAUGCCACACCUGAGUGCUGUUUAAUACAUGCAGUCGCAGUCUUCUA